Non-coding RNA from Pelobates cultripes (western spadefoot toad), 220 nucleotides. The record is from the annotation of a GenBank genome assembly. Lineage: Eukaryota; Metazoa; Chordata; Amphibia; Anura; Pelobatidae.
GAUUAUUUUAAAUUUUGCAAUAGUUAUACUCGUAAUAUCCAGGGGGUAGAUCUGUAAAUGUAGAAAUCUUGCGGACACCCAGUCCAAGUGACCAUACUUUCACGAUCUUUCUCUGUCUUUUAGUGUGAAGUUUCUCUACAUGAGCCACGAAGACUACGUUCCUUUGGUCUCUAGUAUCGGCUGCGUUCUGGUUUACAUGGUUGAUGGAUUACUCAAGUUU